This is a non-coding RNA of Nerophis lumbriciformis (worm pipefish), 68 nucleotides long. The record is from RefSeq and is a predicted model, not a curated record. Lineage: Eukaryota; Metazoa; Chordata; Actinopteri; Syngnathiformes; Syngnathidae.
UCGCCAGGAUGACUUCUUAGGACACCUUUGGAUCAACUGAUGAAAAGAACAUGAAAGUUCUGAGCGAC